UACGGAGGGGGUUAGCGUUGUUCGGAAUUACUGGGCGUAAAGCGCGCGUAGGCGGACCAGAAAGUUGGGGGUGAAAUCCCGGGGCUCAACCCCGGAACUGCCUCCAAAACUGCUAGUCUAGAGUUCGAGAGAGGUGAGUGGAAUUCCGAGUGUAGAGGUGAAAUUCGUAGAUAUUCGGAGGAACACCAGUGGCGAAGGCGGCUCACUGGCUCGAUACUGACGCUGAGGUGCGAAAGUGUGGGGAGCAAACAGG
Molecule: ribosomal RNA, 253 nt
Filed under: uncultured bacterium
Lineage: Bacteria
Description: partial 16S ribosomal RNA
Rfam family: Bacterial small subunit ribosomal RNA
Source: RNAcentral